CCUUUGCCGGCGACCGGCGCACGGGUGAGUAACACGUAUGCAACCUGCCCUCUUCAGGGGGACAACCUUCCGAAAGGGAGGCUAAUCCCGCGUAUAUCGGUUUCGGGCAUCCGAAAUCGAGGAAAGAUUCAUCGGAAGAGGAUGGGCAUGCGGCGCAUUAGCUAGACGGCGGGGUAACGGCCCACCGUGGCGACGAUGCGUAGGGGUUCUGAGAGGAAGGUCCCCCACACUGGUACUGAGACACGGACCAGACUCCUACGGGAGGCAGCAG
Molecule: ribosomal RNA, 271 nt
Filed under: uncultured bacterium
Lineage: Bacteria
Description: partial 16S ribosomal RNA
Rfam family: Bacterial small subunit ribosomal RNA
Source: RNAcentral